Molecule: transfer RNA, 73 nt
Filed under: Stegodyphus mimosarum
Lineage: Eukaryota; Metazoa; Arthropoda; Arachnida; Araneae; Eresidae
Rfam family: tRNA
About the family: Transfer RNA (tRNA) molecules are approximately 80 nucleotides in length.
Source: Rfam by way of RNAcentral
GCCUUCGUAGUGUAACUGGAAGCACGUCCAACUGACAAUCGGAAGGUCCGGAGUUCAAAUCCCGGAGAUGGCA